GAAGCCAGUCGCAGAUACCAGCUGGCUGCAACUGUUUAUUAAAAACACAGCACUGUGCAAACACGAAAGUGGACGUAUACGGUGUGACGCCUGCCCGGUGCUGGAAGGUUAAUUGAUGGGGUUAUCCGUAAGGAGAAGCUCUUGAUCGAAGCCCCAGUAAACGGCGGCCGUAACUAUAACGGUCCUAAGGUAGCGAAAUUCCUUGUCGGGUAAGUUCCGACCUGCACGAAUGGCGUAAUGAUGGCCAGGCUGUCUCCACCCGAGACUCAGUGAAAUUGAACUCGCUGUGAAGAUGCAGUGUACCCGCGGCAAGACGGAAAGACCCCGUGAACCUUUACUAUAGCUUGACACUGAACAUUGAGCCUUGAUGUGUAGGAUAGGUGGGAGGCUUUGAAGUGUGGACGCCAGUCUGCAUGGAGCCAACCUUGAAAUACCACCCUUUAAUGUUUGAUGUUCUAACGUAGCCCCAUAAUCUGGGGUGCGGACAGUGUCUGGUGGGUAGUUUGACUGGGGCGGUCUCCUCCCAAAGCGUAACGGAGGAGCACGAAGGUUGGCUAAGCAUGGUCGGACAUCAUGCGGUUAGUGCAAAGGCAUAAGCCAGCUUGACUGCGAGAGUGACGGCUCGAGCAGGUACGAAAGUAGGUCUUAGUGAUCCGGUGGUUCUGAAUGGAAGGGCCAUCGCUCAACGGAUAAAAGGUACUCCGGGGAUAACAGGCUGAUACCGCCCAAGAGUUCAUAUCGACGGCGGUGUUUGGCACCUCGAUGUCGGCUCAUCACAUCCUGGGGCUGAAGUAGGUCCCAAGGGUAUGGCUGUUCGCCAUUUAAAGUGGUACGCGAGCUGGGUUUAGAACGUCGUGAGACAGUUCGGUCCCUAUCUGCCGUGGGCGUUGGAAGAUUGAAAGGGGCUGCUCCUAGUACGAGAGGACCGGAGUGGACGCACCGCUGGUGUUCGGGUUGUCAUGCCAAUGGCACUGCCCGGUAGCUAAGUGCGGAAGAGAUAACCGCUGAAAGCAUCUAAGCGGGAAACUUGCCUUGAGAUGAGUCUUCCCUGACUCUUUAAGGGUCCUAAAGGAACGUUUAAGACGAAGACGUUGAUAGGCUGGGUGUGUAAGCGUAGCGAUACGUUGAGCUAACCAGUACUAAUGAACCGUGAGGCUUAACCUGACAACACCGAAGGUGUUUUAG
RNAcentral lists this ribosomal RNA (1185 nucleotides) under Providencia stuartii. RNAcentral describes it as "partial 23S ribosomal RNA". It matches the Rfam family "Bacterial large subunit ribosomal RNA", at positions 1769 to 2925 of the family's 2925-position model. The record is from RNAcentral. Lineage: Bacteria; Pseudomonadati; Pseudomonadota; Gammaproteobacteria; Enterobacterales; Morganellaceae.